CCGCAUUCGCCCUUCGGGGUGCCCAGGCGCGAAAACUUUACAAUGCGGGAAACCGUGAUAAGGGAACUCCGAGUGCCCGUAAAAUCGGGCUGUCCAUCUGUUUAAAUAACAGGUGAAGAAAGGGCCGGGCAAGACCGGUGCCAGCCGCCGCGGUAAUACCGGCGGCUCGAGUGGUGGCCACUAUUACUGGGCUUAAAGCGUUCGUAGCUGGUCUGUUAAGUCUCUGGGGAAAUCUACUGGCUUAACCAAUAGGCGUUUCAGGGAUACUGGCAAACUAGGGACCGGGAGAGGUGAGGGGUACUCCAGGGGUAGGAGUGAAAUCCUGUAAUCCUUGGGGGACCACCUGUGGCGAAGGCGCCUCACCAGAACGGCUCCGACAGUGAGGGACGAAAGCUGGGGGAGCAAACCGGAUUAGAUACCCGGGUAGUCCCAGCCGUAAACGAUGCGCGUUAGGUGUAUCGGUGACCACGAGUCACCGAGGUGCCGAAGAGAAAUCGUGAAACGUGCCGCCUGGGAAGUACGGUCGCAAGGCUGAAACUUAAAGGAAUUGGCGGGGGAGCAC
This 562-nucleotide ribosomal RNA is filed under the name uncultured archaeon. Its description in RNAcentral is "bacterial SSU rRNA". It matches the Rfam family "Archaeal small subunit ribosomal RNA", at positions 312 to 879 of the family's 1478-position model. The record is from RNAcentral.